CUGAUUCUUCAACUGCACAGAACCUUUCAGGCCUAAGUGGUGGGAUUCUCCAGCACUACAGUCUUUGAAGGACAACAUGAAGCACUGAAGUUCUACAAGACAGUGAGGCAUGCUGCUUAUUCUAAAAGAUCAGGUUUGCUGCCUCCAGUAAGCUGCAUGCUCUCCACAUGCCCUUAAAGCCACCCUGCAGAAGAUCUACUGUAUGGUGUAGUGGCAAAAGAGAGUGACAGAGAAUAUACAAUUCAGAACCGGACAAGUAGUCACUGAACAGACAGAAGGGAAAGUGCAACAGUAAGAGCUGAGGCAUGAAGUAUACCUUACAGUUUAGAAAUAUGUGAGCAUCCAUUACUGCAACUGACCUGCAAAACUACCUUUAGUAUCACUACUGAAAUGCGAGGAAGCAGAAUUUCCAGGUCUCAGAACAGACAGCACUAGUCAUUCAGAGGCUGUUCUUUGGGGGUAGUUAGAAGCAGUCACAAAACACCAGUGUAGGCCUGGCUUGGGGACACUCACCAAACACUGUCCUGGCAGGGACUGAUUCUCUGUUCAGCCAAAAGGACACUUGUGACAAGAUCACGGUCAUUAUGCAGGGAAGGUAGGUCUGGAUGACAAAGUAUCCAAUCUUCCGCUUCAGAUGGAAAUGAGCUGUCAUGAUUGUGUAUUCACCUGAAAAUAAACAAAUUAACUCGGGCAACCACCUGUCCUACAGUCCUGCCUAUGGUUCCUGCCCCUGAACCAGAGGCAGUCCUAAAGUCCCCUUCUUUCCACCUUCCCACUGGACAACUAUUUGUUUGUAUUGUUAGGAUGAAGGAGAUGAAAGAGGAUGCAUAGAUUUCUUAGCCGUCAUUCUGUAAGUCUUUUGAGCCCCAGCCUCUGAAGAGCCUUUCCUGCUGGAUGUUUUUCCUGGGGAAAAUCAGAUUUGUGUGUUUUCCUAAUCCCUGGUCACAAUCUGUGCCACUCUCUGCCCACCCCCUCACUGCUACUGCCAUCAGGAUUUCAGGAUUUAGUCUCUCCAGAUAUAACUCAGGACAUCACAGAGCCCUGUUGCAGGUGGAGAAUUGUUCUCCCUAUUUCCCAGCCAGGGAAAGCUGGCAGGAGCUGGGGGAAAGCACUCCCCACAGGCUCUGCACUCCGUGACAGACCCAGGUGGAGGGUGAAGAACAGCAGUUUGAGGAGGCCACUGGUCUGGCAGCCCCUCCCUCCUGCCACCUACCAGGGGAGAUCGGGGCAUUUCCUUGGAGAUGCCCCAGUGCCUUCUCUGGAUCUGCCUGGCUGUGUGGGAGGCCAGAGGGGACCUCCCAUUCAUUGCUGAGAAUGACGCUGCCCUGAUGGUGAACUGGUAAGGAGCUGAGAUGGGUUGUGGUUGGAGGGUAUAUAAAUGGAUGUCAACUGGAAAGUCUCUAAUGCUAGAUUCCUUUUUCUGAAAAAAAUAUAGUUAACAUAUGACGUUGUAUUAGUUUCAGUUGUACCACACAGUGAUUCGACAAUUCUGUACAUUACUUAAUGCUCACCAUGGUAAGUGUAGUCACCAUCAUUCACCAUAUAACAUAAUAACAAUUACUACUGUCUGUACUCUACGUUGUGCCUUUCAUCUGUGUGACUGCUACCUGAAUAUACACCUCCCUAGGGAGAUGGGGAGGCUGCUUUGAGGAGUGGAGGCAGAGUUAAGCUGAUCUGAGGACAAGAGUUCUUUUGCUGAAUUGCAAGGAGUAGAUGGUGUGGCUGGGGAGCUGGAUAGAACUGCAAAGU
Acinonyx jubatus (cheetah) is the source of this 1749-nucleotide long non-coding RNA. RefSeq lists it as uncharacterized. The transcript is spliced from 4 exons. Lineage: Eukaryota; Metazoa; Chordata; Mammalia; Carnivora; Felidae. The record is from RefSeq and is a predicted model, not a curated record.